This 465-nucleotide ribosomal RNA is filed under the name uncultured bacterium. Its description in RNAcentral is "partial 16S ribosomal RNA". It matches the Rfam family "Bacterial small subunit ribosomal RNA", at positions 28 to 507 of the family's 1533-position model. The record is from RNAcentral.
GACGAACGCUGGCGGCGUGCUUAACACAUGCAAGUCGAACGGAAAGGCCCUGCUUUCAUGGUACUCUCGUGGCGAACGGGUGAGUAACACGUGUGUGUACUGUGCUCCACUUUUUGGUAUGCCUUCAGAACUGUGGCGCUUAUCGGGUAUAGGCCAUUCUGCUGGUUGGUGGUGGUAGGAAUUUUGCGUCUGGGAUGGGCUUGCUGCCUGUUAGUCUGCUUGUGGGGUAAGUGCCUACCAACGCGGCCACGGGUAGGCGGCCGGAGAGGGUGGACGGCCACAAUGGGGCUGGGAAACGGCCCAGAAUCCUAAGGGAGGCAGCCGGGGGGAAUAUUGGAAAAUGGGCGGGAGCCUGAUGCAGCGACGCCGCGUGGCGGAUGAAGGGCUUCGGGUUGUAAAAUCGUUUCGGCAGGGACGAAGCCUUGUGUGACGGUAACUAGAUAAGAAGCACCGGCUAACUACGUG